Molecule: transfer RNA, 73 nt
Filed under: Bos taurus (domestic cattle)
Lineage: Eukaryota; Metazoa; Chordata; Mammalia; Artiodactyla; Bovidae
Also listed under: 4 other names
Rfam family: tRNA
About the family: Transfer RNA (tRNA) molecules are approximately 80 nucleotides in length. Their secondary structure includes four short double-helical elements and three loops (D, anti-codon, and T loops). Further hydrogen bonds mediate the characteristic L-shaped molecular structure. tRNAs have two regions of fundamental functional importance: the anti-codon, which is responsible for specific mRNA codon recognition, and the 3' end, to which the tRNAs corresponding amino acid is attached (by aminoacyl-tRNA synthetases). tRNAs cope with the degeneracy of the genetic code in two manners: having more than one tRNA (with a specific anti-codon) for a particular amino acid; and 'wobble' base-pairing, i.e. permitting non-standard base-pairing at the 3rd anti-codon position.
Source: Rfam by way of RNAcentral
CUCCUGGUGGUUCAGUUGGUAAAGAAUCUGCCUGUAAUGCAGGAGACCCAGGUUCAAUCUCCGGGUCAGGAUG